Molecule: ribosomal RNA, 443 nt
Filed under: uncultured bacterium
Lineage: Bacteria
Description: partial 16S ribosomal RNA
Rfam family: Bacterial small subunit ribosomal RNA
Source: RNAcentral
CCUACGGGCGGCAGCAGUGGGGAAUAUUGGACAAUGGGGGGAACCCUGAUCCAGCGACGCCGCGUGAGUGAAGAAGUAUUUCGGUAUGUAAAGCUCUAUCAGCAGGGAAGAAAGAAAUGACGGUACCUGACUAAGAAGCCCCGGCUAACUACGUGCCAGCAGCCGCGGUAAUACGUAGGGGGCAAGCGUUAUCCGGAUUUACUGGGUGUAAAGGGAGCGUAGACGGCGAUGCAAGUCUGAAGUGAAAGGCGGGGGCCCAACCCCCGGACUGCUUUGGAAACUGUAUGGCUAGAGUGCUGGAGAGGUAAGUGGAAUUCCUAGUGUAGCGGUGAAAUGCGUAGAUAUUAGGAGGAACACCAGUGGCGAAGGCGGCUUACUGGACAGUAACUGACGUUGAGGCUCGAAAGCGUGGGGAGCAAACAGGAUUAGAUACCCGAGUAGUC